Molecule: ribosomal RNA, 253 nt
Filed under: uncultured bacterium
Lineage: Bacteria
Description: partial 16S ribosomal RNA
Rfam family: Bacterial small subunit ribosomal RNA
Source: RNAcentral
UACAGAGGUGGCAAGCGUUGUUCGGAAUUACUGGGCGUAAAGGGCGCGUAGGCGGUUCGUUAAGUCCUGUGUGAAAUCCCCCGGCUCAACUGGGGAACUGCACAGGAAACUAGCGGGCUUGAGUUCGGGAGAGGGAAGCGGAAUUCCAGGUGUAGCGGUGAAAUGCGUAGAUAUCUGGAGGAACACCGGUGGCGAAGGCGGCAUCCUGGACCAAUAUUGACGCUGAGGAGCGAAAGCCAGGGGAGCAAACGGG